GCUGGGUAUGAUGGUGCACACCUGUAAUCCCAACUACUCAGGAGGCUGAGACAGGAAAGUUGCAAAUUUGAGGCCAGUCUGGGCAACUUAGUGAGGCCCUGUCUCAA
Molecule: small RNA, 107 nt
Filed under: Marmota monax (woodchuck)
Lineage: Eukaryota; Metazoa; Chordata; Mammalia; Rodentia; Sciuridae
Source: RNAcentral